GCGCUUAUUCGGUCGGUUGAAGACGUUAGAUGAAGCGCGCGAGAGAGAGGACAGACAGAGCUCUGUGAUUGGCUGGGAGAAGCCUCGCGUCAUCAGUGGAGUUUCACAGCCACCAUUUUGUUCUUUCAGAGAAAAACGCGGGCUAAAACACUGGUGGAAACUAUCUUAAAGUAAAGCUAAACUUCACAGAGCCAGCUGCUAAUUUUAAAUCAGAAAUGUUCUCAACUUGUAUUCCGAAAAUGGAGGACACAAAAGGGACAUGGUGGCAGCAGCAGCAGUGACAGGCGACUGGAGGCAGGUGGAGCUGCAGGCCCUCAGGAGAGUGAGAUCGUGGUCCCCUCAGUUCAACAUCAACUGUGCCGCUGCUGCAAGAUCUGCAGGGAGACCUGUGCUGCCCUACUCCGUUCCACUGCCCACAACCAGCGCAUCGCGGACUGUCACCGGACACCAGGUCCUGAAUAGAAACCAGGUCAAAAAGUUUGGUUAUCUGCCAUCAAUAUUCCCCUCGAGGCCGACUCCCGGAAACUGGCUGCCCGGUUCAUUGGCCCAUAUAUUGUGGAAGAGAUCAUCGAUGACCAUCCUGCCUACAUGUUCCGACAGCUGCUGGACAUGCACUGCUGAGGCCAGGUCUCCAUUACCUCUGGAGUGGGAGGCAUAUGGUACAGAGGAACGCUCUUGGAUUCCACGAUCAUUGAUCAUGGACAAUCAGCUAAUCAAGGACUUCCCCUUGCUACAUCCUGACAAACCUGUUGGGUCUCCAGGGGGCUCCGAUUGGUUGGGUUCAUUCCUCCCACCUGCCUCCGAGUUACUCACCAGCUCUCCAGAAAGAUCUCACCACGGAUCCUCCGCUGCUCCACCUCAGCCUGCUGUCCUCGCUCCGCCUACCUGCUCUCACCAGACUCUUGCCAGCCCACUGUCUUCACCCAGUCCACCAGCUCACGACGAUUAUUUCCACACACCUGGAGAGUGAGAUCGUGGUCCCCUCAGUUCAACAUCAACUGUGCCGCUGCUGCAAGAUCUGCAGGGAGACCUGUGCUGCCCUACUCCGUUCCACUGCCCACAACCAGCGCAUCGCGGACUGUCACCGGACACCAGGUCCUGAAUAGAAACCAGGUCAGAAAGUUUGGUUAUCUGCCAUCAAUAUUCCCCUCAAGGCCGACUCCCGGAAACUGGCUCCCCAGUUCAUUGGCCCAUAUAUUGUGGAAGAGGUCAGUAACCCCUCAGCGGUCAAAUUAAAACUUCCUCGUACCACGAGAAUCCACCCCACAUUCCAUGUCUCACAAAUCCAUCUGUCCUCCACCCGUCCAGAUCAUCGAUGACCAUCCUGCCUACAUGGUCCGACAGCUGCUGGACAUGCACUGCUGAGGCAGGGGUCUCCAGUACCUCGUGGACUGGGAGGCAUAUGGUACAGAGGAACGCUCUUGGAUUCCACGAUCAUUGAUCAUGGACAAUCAGCUAAUCAAGGACUUCCCCUUGCUACAUCCUGACAAACCUGUUGGGUCUCCAGGGGGCUCCGAUUGGUUGGGUACUGUCAUGGUACAGUUGUACCAUUCCUAGUGUCUCUGUCUGUUUGUCCUCUGUUGGUUCCCCUCCUGUGUUUGUCUGUGUGUGUGUGUGUGUGUGUGUGUGUGUGUGUGUGUGUGUGUGUGUGUGCAUGCUGGCGGGGCGCGGCCUCGGGUAAACUUCCAGUCAGAGACUGACACACCUGCUACUCAUCUGCUGCUGCUCACCUGCUCUCCAUCCACCAAUCAACACCUGGCAGUAAAUAUACCCGGUUUUUCUCACCGGUCUUCGCCAGAUCGUCCGUUUACCCAAGUGGUUCAUUCCUCCCACCUGCCUCCGAGUUACUCACCAGCUCUCCAGAAAGAUCUCACCACGGAUCCUCCGCUGCUCCACCUCAGCCUGCUGUCCUCGCUCCGCCUACCUGCUCUCACCAGACUCUUGCUAGCUCACGACGAUUAUUUCCACACACCUGGUUAUUCCUUGUGUUUUACAAUAAACUGAAACUAACUACUUCUA
Molecule: RNA transcript, 2019 nt
Organism: Siniperca chuatsi (mandarin fish)
Lineage: Eukaryota; Metazoa; Chordata; Actinopteri; Centrarchiformes; Sinipercidae
Exons: 7
Source: RefSeq, a predicted model, not a curated record